GCCCGCUCGCCGUAAGCCCAAGGUUUCCUGCUCUACGUUCAUCGGAGCAGGGUGAGUCGGCCCCUAAGGCCAGGCUGAGAAGCGUAGCUGAUGGGAAGCAGAUUAAGAUUUCUGCACCGACGUUAAGUGCGAAGGGGGGACGGAGUUUUGAGCAUCAUCCGGGUGUUGGAUGUCCCGGUUUGUGCGUGUAGGAGGCCGGCAGGCAAAUCCGCCGGCGAAUCUCCGAGACAAAGCAUCGAGCUGCAUUUUGCAGUGAAGUGAUGGGAUGAACUUCCAGGAAAAGCCUCUAAGCAAUAGCUUAAUGUCGACCGUACCGUAAACCGACACAGGUGGGCGAGUUGAAUAUACUCAGGCGUUGAGAGACUCAGGGAGAAGGAACUCGGCAAAUUGACACCGUAACUUCGGGAUAAGGUGUGCCUUUGUAGUGUGAAGAGUGAAACACUCCGAGCAUGAAGAGGUCACAGAGAAUAGGUGGCUGCAACUGUUUACUAAAAACACAGCACUCUGCAAAGACGAAAGUCGACGUAUAGGGUGUGAUGCCUGCCCGGUGCCGGAAGAUUAAGUGAUGGGGUGAGAGCUCCUGAUCGAAGUCCCGGUAAACGGCGGCCGUAACUAUAACGGUCCUAAGGUAGCGAAAUUCCUUGUCGGGUAAGUUCCGACCUGCACGAAUGGCAUAAUGAUGGCCACACUGUCUCCUCCCGAGACUCAGUGAAGUUGAAAUGUUUGUGAUGAUGCAAUCUCCCCGCGGCUAGACGGAAAGACCCCAUGAACCUUUACUGCAGCUUUGCAUUGGACUUUGAACCGAUCUGUGUAGGAUAGGCGGGAGGCAGAGAACCGAGGACGCCAGUCUUUCGGGGAGCCGACGUUGAAAUACCGCCCUGAUUGGCUGUUUGAGGUCUAACCGCGGACAGUAAACCUGUUCCGGGACCGUGCAUGGUAGGCAGUUUGACUGGGGCGGUCUCCUCCUAAAGGGUAACGGAGGAGUACAAAGGUACGCUAGGUACGGUCGGAAAUCGUGCUGAUAGUGCAAUGGCGCAAGCGUGCUUGACUGCGAGACCGACAAGUCGAGCAGAUGCGAAAGCAGGUCAUAGUGAUCCGGUGGCACUGAAUGGAAGGGCCAUCGCUCAACGGAUAAAAGGUA
RNAcentral lists this ribosomal RNA (1141 nucleotides) under human gut metagenome. RNAcentral describes it as "bacterial LSU rRNA". It matches the Rfam family "Bacterial large subunit ribosomal RNA", at positions 1328 to 2465 of the family's 2925-position model. The record is from RNAcentral.